Molecule: long non-coding RNA, 420 nt
Filed under: Oryctolagus cuniculus (rabbit)
Lineage: Eukaryota; Metazoa; Chordata; Mammalia; Lagomorpha; Leporidae
Description: lncRNA (ENSOCUG00000035619.1)
Source: RNAcentral
CCGUGGUUAAACCUCCCUCCGACUCUGAUUUUAACCGCGUAUUUCUCUCUCGCUCGUUCGUUCGCUCGCUCGCUCGCUCGCUCGCUCUCCCAGAGCCCGACGGGCGCCCGGCGGUGCUGUGAGCUUUUCCCACCCUCUCCCUGCCCCGCCCACCUCCUCGCCUUCCUGAUUGGCGAGCGACCUACAACAGGAACAGCAGUCCUCGGGCUCCACUGAACUGGCAGUCAAGGCUCAUCCUCCCGCCUCCGGAAAGCGAACUUUAUUUUUAUUGGUGAAGGGACAUCUUCCUGUGCACCUGAUUGGGCAAGGACAGAGGGGUCAAGAAAAAACUCCCAGGCCUGUGUUGAAGGAAGCGGGAAAGGGAGAAGAGAGCGAUUCAAAACCCUCUCGAGGCUGAGCGUGGCGUCCAGAGUUCGGCCU